Molecule: ribosomal RNA, 465 nt
Filed under: uncultured bacterium
Lineage: Bacteria
Description: partial 16S ribosomal RNA
Rfam family: Bacterial small subunit ribosomal RNA
Source: RNAcentral
GACGAACGCUGGCGGCGUGCUUAACACAUGCAAGUCGAACGGAAAGGCCCUGCUUGCAGGGUACUCGAGUGGCGAACGGGUGAGUAACACGUGGGUGAUCUGCCCUGCACUUCGGGAUAAGCCUGGGAAACUGGGUCUAAUACCGGAUAGGAGCCAUUUUUAGUGUGAUGGUUGGAAAGUUUUUUCGGUGUAGGAUGAGCUCGCGGCCUAUCAGCUUGUUGGUGGGGUAAUGGCCUACCAAGGCGGCGACGGGUAGCCGGCCUGAGAGGGUGGACGGCCACAUUGGGACUGAGAUACGGCCCAGACUCCUACGGGAGGCAGCAGUGGGGAAUAUUGCACAAUGGGCGCAAGCCUGAUGCAGCGACGCCGCGGGGGGGAUGACGGCCUUCGGGUUGUAAACUCCUUUCGCUGGGGACGAAGCUUUUUGUGACGGUACCUAGAUAAGAAGCACCGGCUAACUACGUG